GGGUGUUAGGGCACGACACCGGAGAGGGAGCCUGAGAAACGGCUACCACAUCCAAGGAUGGCAGCAGGCGCGCAAAUUACCCAAUCCCGACACGGGGAGGUAGUGACAAUAAAUAACAAUACGGGGUUCUUUAGGAUCUCGUAAUUGGAAUGAGUACAAUUUAAAUCUCUUAACGAGGAACAAUUGGAGGGCAAGUCUGGUGCCAGCAGCCGCGGUAAUUCCAGCUCCAAUAGCGUAUAUUAAAGUUGUUGCAGUUAAAAAGCUCGUAGUUGAAUUUCGGGGUUAGUAGGUUGGUCAUGCCUCUGGUAUGUACUGGUCUCACUGAUUCCUCCUUCCUUAUGAACCGUAAUGCCAUUAAUUUGGUGUUGCGGGGAAUUUGGACUGUUACUUUGAAAAAAUUAGAGUGUUUAAAGCAAGCUAACGCUUGAAUACAUUAGCAUGGAAUAAUGAAAUAGGACGUUCGAUCUUAUUUUGUUGGUUUCUAGGAUUGACGUAAUGAUUAAUAGGGAUAGUUGGGGGCAUUAGUAUUCAAUUGUCAGAGGUGAAAUUCUUGGAUUUAUUGAAGACUAACUACUGCGAAAGCAUUUGCCAAGGAUGUUUUCAUUAAUCAAGAACGAAAGUUAGGGGAUCGAAGACGAUCAGAUACCGUCGUAGUCUUAACCAUAAACUAUGCCGACUAGGGAUCGGAUGAUGUUAAUUUUUUAAUGACUCAUUCGGCGCCUUACGGGAAACCAAA
RNAcentral lists this ribosomal RNA (736 nucleotides) under uncultured fungus. Its description in RNAcentral is "SSU rRNA". It matches the Rfam family "Eukaryotic small subunit ribosomal RNA", at positions 365 to 1102 of the family's 1831-position model. The record is from RNAcentral. Lineage: Eukaryota; Fungi.